UACGUAGGGUGCGAGCGUUGAUCGGAAUUACUGGGCGUAAAGCGUGCGCAGGCGGUUAUUUAAGACAGAUGUGAAAUCCCCGGGCUCAACCUGGGAACUGCGUUUGUGACUGGAUAGCUGGAGUAUGGCAGAGGGGGGUGGAAUUCCACGUGUAGCAGUGAAAUGCGUAGAGAUGUGGAGGAACACCGAUGGUGAAGGCAGCCCCCCUGGGCCAAUACUGACGCUCAUGCACGAAAGCGUGGGGGGAGCAAACAGGAUUAGAUACCCUGGUAGUCCACGCCCUAAACGAUGCGAACUAGGUGUUGGGGGAGGAGACUUCCUUAGUACCGCAGCUAACGCGUGAAGUUCACCGCCUGGGGAGUACGGUCGCAAGAUUAAAAC
Molecule: ribosomal RNA, 381 nt
Filed under: uncultured bacterium
Lineage: Bacteria
Description: bacterial SSU rRNA
Rfam family: Bacterial small subunit ribosomal RNA
Source: RNAcentral